AAACUCAGAUUUCUCUUCAGCACACAUAAAUCUUUUGACUUUUACUAAAGAUUUCUGUUGAGCUGCAAACCAAGAGCCAGGAACUUCUUUCAGGUCUCCCACAUAGAAGCAGGGGC
Molecule: small nuclear RNA, 116 nt
Filed under: Ochotona princeps (American pika)
Lineage: Eukaryota; Metazoa; Chordata; Mammalia; Lagomorpha; Ochotonidae
Description: U5 spliceosomal RNA (ENSOPRG00000022384.1)
Source: RNAcentral